UAAUACGUAGGGUGCGAGCGUUAAUCGGAAUUACUGGGCGUAAAGGGUGUGUAGGCGGUUCGGAAAGAAGGAUGUGAAAUUCCAGGGCUUAACCUUGGGACGGCAUUUUUAACUACCGGGCUAGAGUGUGUCAGAGGGAGGUGGAAUUCCGCGUGUAGCAGUGAAAUGCGUAGAGAUGCGGAGGAACACCGAUGGCGAAGGCAGCCUCCUGGGAUGACACUGACGCUGAGGCACGAAAGCGUGGGGAGCAAACAGG
RNAcentral lists this ribosomal RNA (256 nucleotides) under uncultured bacterium. RNAcentral's name for it is "partial 16S ribosomal RNA". It matches the Rfam family "Bacterial small subunit ribosomal RNA", at positions 521 to 776 of the family's 1533-position model. The record is from RNAcentral.